This 88-nucleotide small nucleolar RNA is filed under the name Chlorocebus sabaeus (green monkey). Its description in RNAcentral is "Small nucleolar RNA U13". It matches the Rfam family "Small nucleolar RNA U13". The record is from Rfam by way of RNAcentral. Lineage: Eukaryota; Metazoa; Chordata; Mammalia; Primates; Cercopithecidae.
AUUAUUCUCAAGCAUGAUGAUUGGGUGUUUAUGUGCACAUGUGAGAUGUACCUUCUUCAAAUCCUGUUUUGGUGGCACCCAUCUGACC